ACAUGCAUAUCAAAUAGUGGGCAUUGGAUUCUUACAAUCAUUCAAGUUGAAAAAGGACAAGCUUUUCUAAUGGAUCCUAAAAGUCAUCGUAAUAAGGACAUCAUAUGGAAGUCUGUUGUCGACACGUAAGUUUUGAAUUAUACAACUAAUUAAUCAUCUCUUUCAUUUUAUUUGAUGUUAAUGUUAACUUUAUAUAAAUUUCCUUUCAAGUGCGAUAAGUAUGGUCACUGCAAAAAAGGGAAAGAAAAUGAAAAAAGCAACUUGGGAAGUUAUAAAGGUAUGUAUGCUUAAUUUACUGACAGUUUUGGGCAGUUUAUUUGAUGUUAAUGUUAACGUUAUAUAAAUUCUUUCAUGUUUUUGUUGGAUAGUUGGUAAAAUGCAGCCUAACCAUUUUAUUUCUGUAAUAAUUAUAGGGUCCUACACAACCUAAUGACAAGCAAUGUGGUUAUUUUGUGAUGAGGUUUAUGAGAGAUAUUAUCGAAGGGUUUCAAAAUGCAGCAGCCUCUACUUUUCACUUGUCAUCACUGUUUAAAGGAGUUACUACUUAUUCUCAAAAUCAACUCAACGAGGUCCGUGAAGAAUGGGCAACAUGUGUGAUAAAGCAUGCAUUGGAUGGAUAGAUGCUUUACAUGAAGUGAAAUAGAGACGUGACAGGAGAAAGGUUAUUUCAAUCGAGAUGGCUAUCUAUCAAGCUAGUAGCAUCAUUUUGUAGACUUUGUUUGCACGCACGAUUGAUAGAACAUGUCUUUUUGUUAACUCUAUUUUGGAUGGUGAUUGUAUGAAAA
Salvia miltiorrhiza (redroot sage) is the source of this 785-nucleotide long non-coding RNA. RefSeq lists it as uncharacterized. The record is from RefSeq and is a predicted model, not a curated record. NCBI's taxonomy places the organism in Eukaryota, Viridiplantae, Streptophyta, Magnoliopsida, Lamiales, Lamiaceae. The transcript has 3 exons.